Long non-coding RNA from Cephus cinctus (wheat stem sawfly), 420 nucleotides. RefSeq lists it as uncharacterized. The transcript has 3 exons. Lineage: Eukaryota; Metazoa; Arthropoda; Insecta; Hymenoptera; Cephidae. The record is from RefSeq and is a predicted model, not a curated record.
CAACAACUCUGGCUGCUCGAGUUCCCGUUGUUACCUGACCACACGGCACGUCGGCAACUGUUAACAAAUACAUAGUAUUUGCAUAAUGCACCCCCGGCAACGGUUUAGAUUAUUGAAAUAAGCCUGAAGCUCGCGAUACUCCAGCAUCCAAUCGGGAGCCGAUUAUCUUCAGGAACCCCAUGCAAAGUGCCAGUGCCGCAGAGCCGUUAAGCCGCUGUUAAUAUCCCUAGGACGAAACACACGGCAUUAAAAGUAUAUACGAAGGGCGAAUUACCUCAAGAUUCUUCAUUCGCUCGUGAAUCAUCAAAGAAUUCAAGAAGAAAGCUGUUUUAUCCAAAGCGAUUGAAUAAUUGAAUCAAGAUCCAAAAAAUUGUAUGUCCCUGCGCGAUUCUCAUAUGCAUACAAAAGAUAUGUAAAAUA